This 253-nucleotide ribosomal RNA is filed under the name uncultured bacterium. RNAcentral describes it as "partial 16S ribosomal RNA". It matches the Rfam family "Bacterial small subunit ribosomal RNA", at positions 524 to 776 of the family's 1533-position model. The record is from RNAcentral.
UACGUAGGGUGCGAGCGUUGUCCGGAAUCAUUGGGCGUAAAGAGCGUGUAGGCGGCCCGGUAAGUCCGCUGUAAAAGUCAAAGGCUCAACCUUUGAAUGUCAGUGGAUACUGCCGGGCUAGAGUCCGGAAGAGGCGAGUGGAACUCCUGGUGUAGCGGUGGAAUGCGCAGAUAUCAGGAAGAACACCAACGGCGAAGGCAGCUCGCUAGGACGGUACUGACGCUGAGACGCGAAAGCGUGGGGAGCGAACAGG